GUGCUUGCUUUGGCAGCACAUAUACAAAAACUGGAACAAUACAGAGAUUAGCAUGGCCCCUGUGUAAGGGUGCAAAUUCAUGAAGCAUUCCACGCUUUU
Loxodonta africana (African savanna elephant) is the source of this 99-nucleotide small nuclear RNA. The record is from Ensembl. Lineage: Eukaryota; Metazoa; Chordata; Mammalia; Proboscidea; Elephantidae.